This 799-nucleotide long non-coding RNA is filed under the name Pan troglodytes (chimpanzee). RNAcentral's name for it is "long non-coding RNA NONPTRT014945". Lineage: Eukaryota; Metazoa; Chordata; Mammalia; Primates; Hominidae. The record is from RNAcentral.
GCUCAAUAAGGUGAAACAACUUUCUCAAGACCCUGUGGGCAGGAGUGGAGGAGUGAAGCUAAGAGUCCAUUUGGCAAAUGAAUCUGAGCCAAUGAGAAACAGCUCCAAAACCAUCCCACGAGGGAGCAGCCCUGUCCUUGUUGUCACUGACUCCAUCCUGCUUGGCCCAAAGACAGGCUGAGCUCUCCCCAGUACCAUGUGGACACAACAGUCAUGAGAGGGCCACAGCAAGGGGUAUCCAUGGAAUAUCGUCUUGCUUAGAAUGUUUCAAACUUGUCCAAAGGACAACAGGAGGACUUUACCCUGGAGGACUUUUAAAUGAGCAUGUGUUCCACUAUGCACAUCUGCAGUAAAGGCCGACGAAGAAACCAAACUGGGACCAAAGGAGCUAACAUUUCUUGAAGGCCAGUGCCAGACACAAGCCAUGAGUCACAGAAAUGUGGUAGCCAACUUUGGAUGAAGCCAAUUUCUCAUCCCUACUUCCCUCAGCAGAAGCCAAUAGUGAGAUGGCUACUCCCACCUGACACGUGACUAGAACUCAUUCUCCGAAUUCUGAAUCCUCUUUCAUUACUCUAUAAACUCUGCAACUUGAUAGUCAGUGUUAUCCCUAAUUCAGAAGAAAUUCUACCUUAAAGCUCUGCCUCCCCUGGCCCAUUCUCCUUCCCUUGGCAUCAGGAGGUAUUCAACCAUUUUGAUGAGCCUGGAGAUCUAAUCUUAUGAGAAAGAACUCUAUGCGAGCACUUUUUUGGGAUAAUUUUUCUCCCUAGGAGGAUCCAUCAUUUUCCGAGUGUACCAGGAA